CAAUAGCGUAUAUUAAAGUUGUUGCAGUUAGAACGCUCGUAGUCGGAUUUCGGGGCGGGCCGACCGGUCUGCCGAUGGGUAUGCACUGGUCGGCGCGUCCUUCCUUCCGGAGACCGUUCCUACUCUUAACUGAGCGGGGGCGGGAGACGGAUCGUUUACUUUGAAAAAAUCAGAGUGUUUCAAGCAGGCAGCUCGCUCUUGCAUGGAUUAGCAUGGGAUAAUGAAAUAGGACUUUGGUGCUAUUUUGUUGGUUUCGAACACCGAAGUAAUGAUUAAAAGGGACAGUCAGGGGCACUCGUAUUCCGCCGAGAGAGGUGAAAUUCUCAGACCAGCGGAAGACGAACCACUGCGAAAGCAUUUGCCAGGGAUGUUUUCACUGA
This 380-nucleotide ribosomal RNA is filed under the name uncultured eukaryote. RNAcentral describes it as "partial 18S ribosomal RNA". It matches the Rfam family "Eukaryotic small subunit ribosomal RNA", at positions 592 to 976 of the family's 1831-position model. The record is from RNAcentral.